RNAcentral lists this ribosomal RNA (524 nucleotides) under Selenomonas sp. oral taxon 479. RNAcentral describes it as "bacterial SSU rRNA". It matches the Rfam family "Bacterial small subunit ribosomal RNA", at positions 383 to 902 of the family's 1533-position model. The record is from RNAcentral. Lineage: Bacteria; Bacillati; Bacillota; Negativicutes; Selenomonadales; Selenomonadaceae.
CUGACGGAGCAACGCCGCGUGAGUGAAGAAGGUCUUCGGAUCGUAAAGCUCUGUUGAUGGGGACGAACGUGCGAAGGGUGAAUAAUCCUUUGCAAUGACGGUACCUAUCGAGGAAGCCACGGCUAACUACGUGCCAGCAGCCGCGGUAAUACGUAGGUGGCGAGCGUUGUCCGGAAUCAUUGGGCGUAAAGGGAGCGCAGGCGGGCAUGUAAGUCUUUCUUAAAAGUUCGGGGCUCAACCCCGUGAUGGGAAAGAAACUACAUGUCUUGAGUACUGGAGAGGAAAGCGGAAUUCCCAGUGUAGCGGUGAAAUGCGUAGAUAUUGGGAGGAACACCAGUGGCGAAGGCGGCUUUCUGGACUGCAACUGACGCUGAGGCUCGAAAGCCAAGGGAGCGAACGGGAUUAGAUACCCCGGUAGUCCUGGCCGUAAACGAUGGAUACUAGGUGUGGGAGGUAUCGACCCCUACCGUGCCGGAGUUAACGCAUAAGUAUCCGCCUGGGAGUACGGUCGCAAGACUGAACUC